AUACUUACCUGGCAGGGGAGAGACCAUGAUCACGAAGGUGGUUUUCCCAGGACGAGGCUUAUCCAUUGCACUCCAGAUGUGCUGACCCCUGCAAUUUCUCGAAAUGUGGGAAAUUUAACUGUAUAAUUUAUAGUAGUGGGGGACUGCAUUCAUGCUCUCCCUUG
Molecule: small nuclear RNA, 164 nt
Filed under: Carlito syrichta (Philippine tarsier)
Lineage: Eukaryota; Metazoa; Chordata; Mammalia; Primates; Tarsiidae
Description: U1 spliceosomal RNA (ENSTSYG00000028540.1)
Rfam family: U1 spliceosomal RNA
About the family: U1 is a small nuclear RNA (snRNA) component of the spliceosome (involved in pre-mRNA splicing). Its 5' end forms complementary base pairs with the 5' splice junction, thus defining the 5' donor site of an intron.
Source: Rfam by way of RNAcentral